Molecule: ribosomal RNA, 247 nt
Filed under: uncultured crenarchaeote
Lineage: Archaea; Thermoproteati; Thermoproteota
Description: partial 16S ribosomal RNA
Rfam family: Archaeal small subunit ribosomal RNA
Source: RNAcentral
AGCUCUCAGAGUGGUGUGGAUGUUUAUUGGGCCUAAAGCAUCCGUAGCUGGCUAAGUUAGUCCCUUGUUAAAUCCACCGAAUUAAUCGUUGGAUUGCGGGGGAUACUGCUUGGCUAGGGGACGAGAGAGGCAGACGGUAUUUCCGGGGUAGGGGUGAAAUCCUAUAAUCCCGGGAAGACCACCAGUGGCGAAGGCUGUCUGCUAGAACGCGCCCGACGGUGAGGGAUGAAAGCUGGGGGAGCGAACC